RNAcentral lists this non-coding RNA (48 nucleotides) under Trypanosoma brucei brucei. The record is from RNAcentral. Lineage: Eukaryota; Euglenozoa; Kinetoplastea; Trypanosomatida; Trypanosomatidae.
ACAAUGCAAACUUACAUGACUGGUUUUAUAGAGAUGAGAGAUUAAUUU